UAAAACUUGCCCUUAUGAGAAGUGUCCCUAUCUAGCAACAGCAACAGCAACCACUCCUCAAUGGGAAGGAGAUUAGGAAUUCUGACGAGUUAAGAGCGAUAGGUGUGAAGGAUGACGAUUUGCUUGUGAUGGUCCGCUCUGGUGUUGGCAGUGGCGGCGGUGGUGCUGCUAGCUGUCUUGUUGAUGAAGAACUCUCUAAGAAAGUUAAGGUUGGGCAUUUACUGAUUCUGUUCUACAUAGAUUGGUACCUCUUUGGGUAGGUACUAGAGGAUUAGAAUUUACUUGGGAUUACAUUCUACAGGGCCUAGAGGCUAAUACAAAUUUGGUACGUUAUUUCUCUUAAUGCUAUAACU
Molecule: non-coding RNA, 353 nt
Organism: Arachis ipaensis
Lineage: Eukaryota; Viridiplantae; Streptophyta; Magnoliopsida; Fabales; Fabaceae
Source: RefSeq, a predicted model, not a curated record